AUGGGGCGGCUGGUGGCUGUGGGCUUGCUGGGGAUCGCGCUGGCGCUCCUGGGCGAGAGGCUUCUGGCACUCAGGGAAGCCUGAAGCCAGAAUGCCAGACAGCGCAGACACUAUUCCAUCUCGCAUUUUAGUUUUAAUGAAAAUCUCUGAAAUCGACUUAAAGCCUCCAGAGAAGUAGAAUCUGUAGACCUUCCACACUGCCACCUGAUUAAAGGAAUUGAAGCUGGCUCUGAAGAUAUUGACAUACUUCCCAAUGGUCUGGCUUUUUUUAGUGUGAUAAGGGGACAGAUGAGGAGGUUCUGACCACCUACCUCCCUGGCUUGGGCAGACAUAGGAGUUCUUGGCAUCUUCAUAGGUCCAGUUUUUCUGGAGGAAGAAGUAACCAACUCUGACACCUGACUGGUCUAAAAUUCCCAGGACUCCACAGCUUUGCACCAGAUAAGCCUGGAGGAAUACUAAUGAUGGAUCUAAAAGAAGAAAAACCAAGGGCACGGGAAUUAAGAAUCAGUCGUGGGUUUGAUUUGGCCUCAUUCAAUCCACAUGGCAUCAGCACUU
RNAcentral lists this long non-coding RNA (555 nucleotides) under Homo sapiens (human). RNAcentral describes it as "non-protein coding lnc-PON3-2:5". The record is from RNAcentral. Lineage: Eukaryota; Metazoa; Chordata; Mammalia; Primates; Hominidae.